CUAGGACACAGGGUGAUGACCUAUGAAUUGACAGCCAGUGUUUGCAGUCCAGCUGCCUGUCAGUUCUGUAGGCCACUGCCCUGUU
This is a non-coding RNA of Danio rerio (zebrafish), 85 nucleotides long. NCBI's taxonomy places the organism in Eukaryota, Metazoa, Chordata, Actinopteri, Cypriniformes, Danionidae. The record is from RefSeq.